This 50-nucleotide transfer RNA is filed under the name Rachelia extrusa (blue flash skipper). RNAcentral describes it as "tRNA-Ser". Lineage: Eukaryota; Metazoa; Arthropoda; Insecta; Lepidoptera; Hesperiidae. The record is from RNAcentral.
UAAUUAAGCUGCUAACUUAAUUUUUAGUGAAUAAAUUCAUUAAUAUUUCU